AAGUCGUAACAAGGUUUCCGUAGGUGAACCUGCGGAAGGAUCAUUAACACGUAUCCAAACGUAAAAAACCCCCCCCGUGAACAUUCAAUCCUGCUCUUGUAACCCGCGUAGUUCGCAAUCUCUGGUAAAUCAUAGCCCGGAAAUCAGUUACAAUCGAGCGGUAGUUUCAUAGGCAUUGUUUCCCCAAGCAGUCAGUGUCUGAAAGUGUCACUGAUUGUGCAAGGAUAGCGCUUCAACGAUUCCUGUAGACCGUACACUCGGGCAGGAGCUAUGCCAAAGGGUCCCCAUGCCCCCUUAUAACCCCACAGUUUAAUGUGAAGCUCAAUGUAAUACAUUGGGUAAAAAAACCGAACAACUGUUAACAAUGGAUAUCUUGGUUCUC
This 382-nucleotide unclassified non-coding RNA is filed under the name fungal sp. RNAcentral's name for it is "partial internal transcribed spacer region". The stretch from base 1 to 46 matches the Rfam family "Eukaryotic small subunit ribosomal RNA", at positions 1786 to 1831 of the family's 1831-position model. Lineage: Eukaryota; Fungi. The record is from RNAcentral.